RNA transcript from Beta vulgaris subsp. vulgaris (sugar beet), 5768 nucleotides. It is a transcript of the gene named structural maintenance of chromosomes flexible hinge domain-containing protein GMI1, with no coding region annotated. The transcript is spliced from 39 exons. The record is from RefSeq and is a predicted model, not a curated record. Lineage: Eukaryota; Viridiplantae; Streptophyta; Magnoliopsida; Caryophyllales; Amaranthaceae.
CUGUCAUUGUACGCAAUAUAGUAACCGUUAACAUACACUUUCUGGGCAGUACAAUCGUCGUUUCAGCGACAAACUACAACUCUAUAUACACUGUCACACUCGCACAUAAACCAAAACAAGCAAAAACUCUCUGAAAUUUUUUCCAUUUCUGCACACUAUCAAUUUUUCUGGGUGUUCCUCAAACUUUGAUCUUUUUAUUUUUUUGGGAUUUUGAUUUUAGUUGAAGUUCAGUUAGUGAAAAAAAGGAAAUUUCAUAGUGAUAAUGGAGAUGAAAUUUAUCGUUUUCAAGUUUUGCUGCCAAAUGGGAUUAGUGUUAAAAUGGUUAAAAGAAACCCAAAAGAUAGUAGUAUUUCUUUGGAUGUUUUUGUGGAGAUUGUUAAGGAGAAGUGCUAUGAAAUUUUGAGGCAAACAGAGGAUUAUAAAAGUAGGAGGGAGAUUUUCUGGACUUCUAAAGAGUUGUUUUUGGAAGAUAGUAAAGGGUUUAAAAUAAGGAGUUUAUUAUGUUAUGAUAAGUUCAAGCCUAACAAAACUCACUACUUCAGACUCUUUCCUUUCUUUGGGAUGUUUGGAUAUGGUGGAACUAUUGCUUCCAUGCAUUUAGGGAGUGUUGAGGUUUACGAGGAUAAAGUUUCUGUAUUUGAUACUGGCCCUGGAAUGGAUGGAUGAUUGAUGAAAUUCGAUUGUGAAGUGGGGAAAAAUGGGUGCUUCAGUUCACAGAACUUCCAAAAAGCUUGCAAUUGGCGGAAAACCUCCAUAUCUUACGCCUUUCUUUGGGAUGUUUGGAUAUGGUGGAACUAUUGCUUCCAUGCAUUUAGGGAGGCAUGCUGUAGUGUCUGCAAAGACUAAACAAUCUAAAAAAGUUUAUUGGCUUCGUUUAGAGAGGGAUGCUCUACUAAGGCAGUCUGGCUCUGAUCUUAACUGGAAGGCCUUGGGUGGACUUCGAGAUCCGUCAGACAGAGAAAUUGAAUUAUCCCCUCAUGGGAGUUUUACAAAAAUUGUUAUGAAACCCAAGUUAGAACUCCCUGAUAUAUUUCAACUCCAGUGCAAGCUUAAGGAUAUUUAUUUCCUUUAUAUUCAGUGUGAUGAGAUAUCCAAGACAGGGAGGACUACAAUAUUGGUGGAUUUUGAGAUUAAUGGCAUCAAUUUAGCUGAAGUUGAAGGUGGUGAAGUCGCAGUGACAAAUCUGCAUUCUUCUAAUGGCCCAGACUUUGUCCUGAAUCUUCACUUUUCUUUUGAAGAGGAUAAGGCUGCAUCUAAAUCACCAGGUGUAAAAGCAAUUCGAGAAGGGAAUGCACGCCUGAAGUGUGUUUACUUUCCCAAUCUUGAGGGCAAGGAGAGUAUUGAGAAAAUUUUGGAAAAACUGAAUUCUGAUGGCUGUGGAAUUCAAGAAGACUAUGAAUCUUUUAGUCGUAUUUCCAUCAUGUACUUUAGUGUGUAUGCUUCAAAUGUUAAUUGGUUGCUUAGUAGUUCCUUGUUUAUGGAUCUGCUACCUUUCAUGAAACCCAGACAGAAGAAGGGGAGCAAAGUUGAAACUUUGAAGAGGUGUUGUCUAAGAGUUAAGUGCUUCAUUGAUACUGAUGCUGGUUUCAAUCCAAUACCAUCCAAGACUGAUCUAGCCCCUCAUGACCGGUUUACCAAAGCAUUGAAGGAUCUGGGAGUUCACACUCCUCAGAACGAGAAAGUAAAAAUCCGAAUUUGUAGAGGCGAAAAGCAAUUGACACUUCAACAACUGGAGCAAGAGUAUCAAAACUGGAUUCUACAAAUGCAUAGUCAGUAUGAUAAUGAAUACGAAAUCAACUGUGGUGAUGAAAAACCUGAUGUUCUUGUUGCUGAAUCAAUCAAAGAACUUGGCAUAACUUGUGAUGUUGUUAGGGUUCUUAAAGCUAUAAGUUGGAAGGGCAGAUCUUGGAAUAGGGGACAGAAAGUUAAGAUUCUCAAAGGUGCUUGUUCUGGCUGUCAUAAGAACAACCUAUUUGCAACGCUCGAAUAUUUUUUACUUGAAGGCCUUGAAGAGGAUACAGGAGGAGAGGCACGGAUCAUUUGCAGGCCACUAGGGGUUGAGGAGGAAGAUGGUAGUGUGCUUAAAGUUGAUGCUACUAACAGAAGCUUGGAACUCCGCGGCUCUAUAUCUCUGCCUAUUGUUGUGAUGGAUCCAGGAAAGUGUAUUCCCGUUAGCGACAACGACUGGAAUUGCCAAGUUGACAAGCUAAAUCUGAAACUUCCUUCGUCAAUCAAUGUGCUGGGACCAAAGCAAUGCGAAGCCUUAGAAAUUGAUGGGGGAUUACUUACAGAUGCUUCAGUUUCUGCUGGAACAGUACCUCCUAAAGAAGUUGUCGCCGUACUGCGGCCUUCCAAUUUCACUCGAAGUAGUGCCUCUAAUGAUGUAGACCAAAAAUAUAUUGUAAGGGACAAUUAUGAGAUGUGCCUGGAUAUUAAAUUUAAGACUGAAGCUGCAAAGUGCCCCAAGGUGGACCAUAUUUUUUCAGGAACUGUUACAAAUACAUACGUAACGGACGUCAGGGUUUGUAUAUAUUUUUGGUGGGCUCAAUCCCAAGUUUGUUUCAAAAAGUGGGUUUUUAUUCUCCUUUUCUCUGGUAAGAUCAAGACCCUUCUCUUAAAAAAACUGCAACUGCAAGUUCUGAAUUGAUUGUGAGGGUGAAAGCAUCAUCUAAUAUCAAACGCUGGGAACUCUCCAAGGAUGAUUUAGAACUACCUUUGCGUGUGAGUGCAGGUUCUUGUUUCCCACCAUUGACAGUUGCCUGUUAUGAUGACUAUGACAACAUGAUUUCUUUCAAGAGUAUACCAGAGAUAGAAAUCCAGUUGACGUCUAAUGGUACUGUGCUUUCUCAUUUAAAGAACUCGAAGGUGGAUUUGUCAUCAGAUAUGUAUCAUAUGAUUGUUUCGAAUGUGCGGAUUACAACUAAUAAGUUAGACAAUAUCCGCCCAAGUUAUGAAGCCAUGUUGGUGUUAUCUCAGCCUCAUAAGCAACCCUUUCUCAGCAUACCUUGUCAAGUGCUUCCUGGACCUCUACGAUUCGUCAACAUUCUUUCAUCAGAAUCAAGCAAAAGUUUACUUCCGAAGCAGGUCGUUGAGGAUAUGAAAGUGGAGGUGUUAGAUAGACAUAGUAAUCAUGUGCAACAAGGCAUAGAAGUAGAGCUGCAAGUUCAUGGUUUUUCUUUCCUGGAUCAAAUUGGUCUGAAGCGCAAGGUUGAUGAUCAUGGUUUCAUUGAUCUUAGCGGUCUUUUGAAAGUCACAGAAGGUUUUGGUAAAUUAGUGUCUCUUACUGUUAUAUCCAACAAAAAUGUUGUAGCUAAUAAAAAAUUUCAAGUCGAAAAGCGGGAGCUGAGGAUGGUGACAGUGGUACCUAAGCUUUGUCAUUUGGGGUCGAAGUUGAAGAAUUUAGCCUUUGAAGUUGUUAAUUCUAAGGGUGAUGUUGAUCACACUAUACAUGACUCAGACAAGCAUGGCAGAUCAGAUACUUUAAGAUUAAAAACAGACUUUCCAGGCUUUGAUGAUUCUUUAAGAUAUGCUUUUAAGCUGGGGAGAUGUGUCAUUCCGUCAAUUACUCUUCCUUUAACAGAAGGAACUUUCUGCAUUGAGGCCAAUCAUUGUCAACACUUCGAGCUAUGUGCCAAGUUUGAGAUUAGAGUAUCAAGAUCAACAUGUACAGAAAAAGAUAUUCUUUCUGAUCUCCGAGCUUCAGAUCAGCUGUAUUUGAAGGAUAGAUCUGCUUCCGGAUCAGUUUCCGAUGCUGUAAAGCCUGUGACAAACAGGAAGAGGUCUGCAUUGCGAGAUUCAGAGGUUACUGUUCCAUAUGUUGAGGAGGAGUGUAAUUUUGCAUCUCCCCUCCAAACUCAAAAUCUGGAGCAUGGAGAUCGUCUACCUCAGUCGUCAUAUGGGAAAUCAACAUCUGGGAAAUUGUCCAUUUCGAUUGAGUCAAAAAUGCAAAAGAAGCAGGUUACUGUUCCAUAUGUUGAGGAGGAGUGUGAUUUUGCAUCUCCCCUCCAAACUCAAAAUCCGGAGCAUGGAGAUUGCCUACCUCAGUCGUCAGAUGGGAAAUCAGCAUCUGGGAAAUUGUCCAUUUUGAUUGAGUCAAAAAUGCAGAAGAAGCAGGCUAACAUUACACAAACUCCAGACAAGCAGCCUGAUCAAAAGUACGGGCUUAACAGUGACAUUUUCAAUUCUUCAGAAGGGAUGAUGCCUUUUGCUGAUACUUGUACACCUGAGCGUGCAAUACCUUCAGGAGGACCUGGCUUAGAGGACUUUGAGAGCAUUGAAAAAGAGAUCUACCAUUAUGGUUCAGCUAUUAAAGAUCAAGAAGAGGCCUUACAAUGGUGUCUUCUGCGUAAGGAUGAAAUUGAAGAGGAUUUGACACAGCUACAAGCUUCAAUGGAACUGCUGCCAGUAUCUCAGCCAGAUUGCUCGUCUCAGAAGGAGGUGGUGCUGGGAAAAAUAGAAGAGAAGGUUGAUUCAGCGGCUUCCAUAUAUGGCAUUGUUACCAGGAAUCCAUUAUUGAAGAAUCGGCACCCUGAUUUCAUUGAUGAUGUGGUUGGCCUAGUUGCCCUUCUUGCAACAGUUUCCACACCCGCGCUUAAUUGUUCAUUGGCCGAGUACUUAGGGGAAGAUCAAAUGCUAGCCAUUGUUUGUCAAUCUAGUGUUGCACUAACAAGCCCUGAGAAGUACGAAGACAUUCUAAUGUCCUUAGCAGGCGAAUUGGGAAAAUGCAUAAAAAAUCGUCAACUAAUUAUAUGUCUUGAAGAUUUAAAAGCAUAUGGUGGUGACAUUCUGGAGACUGAUCCUCAAAGAAGGCUGGCCUUACCGAAUCCCAUCUUACCUGAGGGAACAACUCCACAUGGUUUCAUAGGUUAUGCUGUUAAUAUGAUCGACAUUGAUGUGGACCAUCUCCAAACUAGGACAUAUGUGGGUCAUGGCCUUCGUGAAACCCUUUUUUAUCGACUCUUUGGAGAACUUCAAGUGUAUGAUACGAAAGAACACAUGAAACAUGCUCGUGGAUGCAUAACAACAGAUGGUGCAAUAUCUCUGGAUGGACUAAUCAUGAGAGGAAGAGGAAUUGUUUCUCUAGGAUCAUCUGAGAAAGUGAGCGUGCAUUUUCCUAGCGUCUCUCAAGAUAGUCAAUUGGUUGUCUCUUCGGGGGAGGUCAUGAACGAGAUUGAGAAAAAGAAAUCGGAGUUAUGUUUAGUGGAGACAGCAAUCGUUUGCGAAAGUGAAAAAAGGAGUUCAUACUUAAAGCUUUUUUCUGAGAAGAAGGCAGGUUAUCUGAAGUUACUUGAGAACAAAGAAAGAGAACAUAAGGUUUUGUUAUCACAACAAUUAUUUAAGAAAAGUCCUAUUGCUUCCUUCAAAAGUUCUUUACAGUAGAUAUAGAGACAUAUUAAGGUUAGUUUCUGAUGUUAAAGGUGUAUGUAGUAGUGUGUACAUAGUUUCAGAACAUAUAGCAUAGAAAAAAGGAUCUGUUUUUUGAGAUUUUAGCCUUUCUGAAACAACAGUUGGAAAGGAAACAGAAUGAAGAUCUCAUUGUAUGGUGGCAAUCAAGAAUAGUCACAUACAAAGGUUCAUGUUUCCUAGAAUUGGAAUAGAUUAUGGUUAGAUUUUGAUAAUAAAACACACCCUGAAUUAUUGUGAUUGACAAGUUAGUGAUUAAUGACAGAUUUUUACUUAUAACAUGGAGGUUGGAACAAUGUAACAAUUAUUGUCAAAAUUGGCGUUAGAUGGUUUAUUCAGCUAUAUGUAUAAAUAUAUUUCUAAUG